This 786-nucleotide ribosomal RNA is filed under the name Streptomyces sp. RNAcentral's name for it is "bacterial SSU rRNA". It matches the Rfam family "Bacterial small subunit ribosomal RNA", at positions 82 to 900 of the family's 1533-position model. The record is from RNAcentral. Lineage: Bacteria; Bacillati; Actinomycetota; Actinomycetes; Kitasatosporales; Streptomycetaceae.
CCCGGGUGGAUUAGUGGCGACGGGUGAGUAACACGUGGGCAAUCUGCCCUUCACUUCGGGACAAGCCCUGGAAACGGGGUCUAAUACCGGAUAAUACUUUUCCCCUCAUGGGGGGAAGUUGAAAGCUCCGGCGGUGAAGGAUGAGCCCGCGGCCUAUCAGCUAGUUGGUGGGGUAAUGGCCUACCAAGGCGACGACGGGUAGCCGGCCUGAGAGGGCGACCGGCCACACUGGGACUGAGACACGGCCCAGACUCCUACGGGAGGCAGCAGUGGGGAAUAUUGCACAAUGGGCGAAAGCCUGAUGCAGCGACGCCGCGUGAGGGAUGACGGCCUUCGGGUUGUAAACCUCUUUCAGCAGGGAAGAAGCGCAAGUGACGGUACCUGCAGAAGAAGCACCGGCUAACUACGUGCCAGCAGCCGCGGUAAUACGUAGGGUGCGAGCGUUGUCCGGAAUUAUUGGGCGUAAAGAGCUCGUAGGCGGCUUGUCACGUCGGUUGUGAAAGCCCGGGGCUUAACCCCGGGUCUGCAGUCGAUACGGGCAGGCUAGAGUGUGGUAGGGGAGAUCGGAAUUCCUGGUGUAGCGGUGAAAUGCGCAGAUAUCAGAGGACACCGGUGGCGAAGGCGGAUCUCUGGGUCAUACUGACGCUGAGAGCGAAAGCGUGGGGAGGCGACAGAUAGAUACCUGUAGUCCACGCCGUAAACGGUGGGACUAGUGUGCGACCUCCACGGUCGUCGUGCGCAGCUACGCAUAGGUCCCGCUGGGGAGUACGCCGCCAAGGCUAAAUC